Molecule: ribosomal RNA, 253 nt
Filed under: uncultured bacterium
Lineage: Bacteria
Description: partial 16S ribosomal RNA
Rfam family: Bacterial small subunit ribosomal RNA
Source: RNAcentral
UACGGAGGGUGCAAGCGUUGCUCGGAAUUACUGGGCGUAAAGCGUACGCAGGCUGUUCGUUAAGUCGGGUGUGAAAUCCCGGGGCUCAACCCCGGAAUUGCGCCCGAAACUGACGAGCUUGAGUGCGGGAGAGGGAAGCGGAAUUCCUGGUGUAGAGGUGAAAUUCGUAGAUAUCAGGAGGAACACCGGUGGCGAAAGCGGCUUCCUGGCCCGACACUGACGCUCAUGUACGAAAGCGUGGGGAGCAAACAGG